Molecule: ribosomal RNA, 464 nt
Filed under: uncultured bacterium
Lineage: Bacteria
Description: partial 16S ribosomal RNA
Rfam family: Bacterial small subunit ribosomal RNA
Source: RNAcentral
CUACGGGAGGCUGCAGUGGGGAAUAUUGCACAAUGGGCGCAAGCCUGAUGCAGCCAUGCCGCGUGUAUGAAGAAGGCCUUCGGGUUGUAAAGUACUUUCAGCGGGGAGGAAGGGAGUAAAGUUAAUACCUUUGCUCAUUGACGUUACCCGCAGAAGAAGCACCGGCUAACUCCGUGCCAGCAGCCGCGGUAAUACGGAGGGUGCAAGCGUUAAUCGGAAUUACUGGGCGUAAAGCGCACGCAGGCGGUUUGUUAAGUCAGAUGUGAAAUCCCCGGGCUCAACCUGGGAACUGCAUCGGAUACUGGAAAGCUGGAGUCUCGUAGAGGGGGGUAGAAUUCCAGGUGUAGCGGUGAAAUGCGUAGAGAUCUGGAGGAAUACCGGUGGCGAAGGCGGCCCCCUGGACGAAGACUGACGCUCAGGUGCGAAAGCGUGGGGAGCAAACAGGAUUAGAUACCCCAGUAGUC